UGGGGGAUAUUGCACAAUGGGGGAAACCCUGAUGCAGCAACGCCGCGUGAGGGAUGAAGGUUUUAGGAUUGUAAACCUCUGUCCUUAGUGAAGAAUAAAAUGACGGUAACUAAGGAGGAAGCUCCGGCUAACUACGUGCCAGCAGCCGCGGUAAUACGUAGGGAGCAAGCGUUGUCCGGAAUUAUUGGGUGUAAAGGGUGCGUAGGCGGCUAUGUAAGUCAGACGUGUAAUUCAGGAGCUUAACUUUUGAACUGCGUUUGAAACUGUGUAGCUUGAGUGGAGUAGAGGCAGAUGGAAUUUCCA
This 303-nucleotide ribosomal RNA is filed under the name uncultured bacterium. RNAcentral describes it as "bacterial SSU rRNA". It matches the Rfam family "Bacterial small subunit ribosomal RNA", at positions 355 to 672 of the family's 1533-position model. The record is from RNAcentral.